UCUUGUUAUCUAUUUGAAUAUGUACAAAAUUUCUGGUUUUGCUCCUGAUCGAAUGGCCAGUUUGUAGACCAUUAUGAGUUUUAUCUGGCCCUGGACAAUCACAUGAUUGUGGAAAUGCUCCGUAUCGACCUCUCCUACCUCUGCUCUUGCUGGAGGAUGACAGGCUGACCCACAGUAACGUUCCCAAUUUCACACAGAAUGCUCACCGAUGAUCACAAGCAAAUUGAUCCUGCUGUUUUGGCAACCUUGAAAAAACUACAGGACGGUUACUUUGGAGGAGCAAGAAAUCUUUCGGCAGCAGACUACACAGUGGAGUUCAGAAUGCUGGCAGCACAGAGUGGAUGGAAUGAUGUCUUGCUGAAAGCAGUUUUCCAGCGGAGCCUAACUCAGGAACUUCAAGCAGAACUGGCCUGCAAGGGAACCUAUGCAACUGUCUCUCAAGGCUCUCUGAGAAGGAGAGCAUUCAACGACAACAGCACAACUUGUGUUUCUAUUGUGGAGAGUCUGGACAUCAUAGGUUGAAAUGCCCAUACAAGACGUUCUCCAAUUCCACACCCUGGUGCUGAUUAACUCUGGAGCUGCCUUAAACCUCAUUCACAAAGACAUCAUCAAAUACAACAUUCCCACUCAAUGUUGUAAACCACCUAUCAAGAUCCGAGCAGUUAAUAACUCACCCAUUGGAGACGGU
Cyprinus carpio carpio is the source of this 688-nucleotide long non-coding RNA. NCBI's taxonomy places the organism in Eukaryota, Metazoa, Chordata, Actinopteri, Cypriniformes, Cyprinidae. The record is from Ensembl.